UCGCGCUCGAUGCGUCGGUUAAUUUAGAGCGGUAUGUUGUUGUGACAAAUUUUUCUCUGGGAGUGUGCUCUCGUAUUCAUCGGUGCCGAUUUUUAUAUACAGUGAAUUCCGAAAAAUCAACAUAUUUUGCGCAUGGUAGUGAAUAAAAUACGAGUUUGAUCAUGGCGUUGGAGGGUGUGAAAAGUGAAAAAAGUGAGGAAAGCAAUGCUAAUGUGCAGGACGCGAAGGCAAAUGGUGUCGACAAUAGGAAUAAACAGAUAGAUCCAAACACAGCGUUUCUGCGGGCGGCGCGCGCGGGCCAGUUGGACACAGUCGUCGAUCUGUUGGAUUCGGGGGCCGUUAAAGAUAUAAACACAUGUAACUCAAAUGGAUUAAACGCUCUACAUUUAGCCGCUAAAGAUGGACACAUUUCAGUAGUAGAGGAGCUACUGAAACGCGGUGCUACCGUCGACGCAUCGACCAAGAAAGGCAACACAGCCCUCCACAUAGCAUGCCUAGCCGGGCAGGAGUCGGUGGCGCGAGCCCUGCUCGCGGCCGGCGCGAAAGCAGAUGCACAGUCGGCGGCGGGUUUCACGCCACUGUACAUGGCGGCGCAGGAGAACCACGCGGGCUGCGUGAAGAUGCUACUAGCGGCUGGCGCCAGCCAGACCCUUGCCACCGAGGAUGGUUUCACACCGCUAGCAGUGGCCAUGCAACAGGGACACGACCGAGUGGUUGCAGAGCUCCUAGAGUCAGACACACGCGGAAAAGUGCGGCUACCUGCAUUACACAUUGCCGCCAAGAAAAACGAUGUUAAGGCAGCUACAUUAUUAUUAGAGAACGAGCACAACCCGGACGCGUGCUCCAAGUCCGGCUUCACGCCGCUGCACAUAGCGGCGCACUACGGCAACGUGGGCGUGGCCAGAGCGCUGCUGUCCGCCGGCGCGGACGCGGGCCGGGCGGCCAAGCACAACAUCACGCCGCUGCACGUGGCCAGCAAGUGGGGGCAGCUGGCCAUGGUCGACCUGCUGGUGGAGAACGGUGCAAACAUAGCGGCAGUGACGAGGGACGGUCUGACGCCAUUGCACUGCGCGGCGCGAUCCGGCCACAGCAAUGUGGUGGCCAGGUUGUUGCAGCAUGGCGCACCGAUUACUAGCAAAACUAAGAACGGUCUCACCCCCCUCCACAUGUCGGUGCAAGGUGAGCACGUGGAAACGGCGAAGGUGCUACUCACAGAGGGCGCCCCCAUCGAUGACGUCACCGUGGAUUACCUGACAGCGCUGCACGUGGCGGCGCACUGCGGACACGUUAGGGUCGCAAAACUUCUGCUGGACAGAAAUGCGGACGCGAACGCGCGAGCUCUCAACGGUUUCACCCCACUUCACAUCGCUUGCAAGAAGAACAGGCUCAAAGUUGUCGAACUCUUGCUCAAAUAUGGUGCUAGUAAAUCAGCGACAACAGAAUCCGGUCUGACGCCGCUCCACGUGGCGUCGUUCAUGGGCUGCAUGAACAUCGCCCUGGUGCUGGUCGGCGCGGGCGCAGACGCUGACGCUGCCACCGCCCGGGGGGAGACGCCGCUGCAUCUCGCCGCCAGAGCCCACCAGACCGAUCUGGUGCGAGUGCUGCUGAGGAAUAACGCCAAAGUGGAAGCCCGUGCCCGCGAAGAACAGACGCCACUACACGUAGCGGCUAGACUCGGGCAUGCGGACAUUGCUGCAUUGCUGCUGCAGCAUGGUGCUGAUGUGGCUGCUACCACAAAGGACAAGUACACGCCGCUGCAUAUUGCUGCUAAGGAGGGGAAAGAAGAAGUGGCAGCAAUCCUCAUUGACAACAACGCGCCUAUAGAAGCGGAAACGCGUAAAGGCUUCACUCCACUACACCUAGCUGCUAAAUACGGUGACAUGGGUGUUGCCAGGCUGCUGCUAGCUAGAGGAGCUCAACCCGAUGCUCCUGGAAAGAGUCAUAUUACACCUUUGCACAUGGCAACAUAUUAUGGCCACCCUGACAUCGCUCUGUUACUUCUGGAUAAAGGUGCAUCACCACAUUCACUGGCUAAGAACGGUCAUUCCGCACUUCACAUCGCGUGUAGACACAAUCAUCCAGAUAUUGCGUUUGCGCUACUUGAACAUGAUGCGGAUCCCAGUGUGAAGUCAAAGGCUGGGUUCACACCAUUGCACAUGGCGGCUCAAGAGGGACACGAGGAUUGCGUUGAAAUGCUCAUCGAGAGAGGCGCUGAUGUUAAUGUUCCAGCUAGCAACGGUCUGACGGCGGUGCACCUGGCGGCGGCGGAGGGGCGCGGCGCCGUGCUGCGCGCGCUGCUGGCGGCCGGCGGGCGCUGCGCCGCGCGCACGCGCGACGGCUACACGCCGCUGCACGCCGCCGCGCACCACGGCCACCUGGCGGCCGCGCGCGCGCUGCUGGACGCGGGCGCGGACGUGACUGCGCGCGCGCAGCACGGAUUCACGCCGCUCCACCAAGCGGCCCAACAAGGCCACACUCUUAUCAUUCAACUGCUGUUGAAGAGUAACGCCGACCCCAACGCUCUAUCUGCGAACGGACAGACAGCGUGCGCGAUUGCGGAUCGCUUGGGUUAUAUCAGCGCUGUGGAGGCGCUCAGACCGCUCACCGAGAACACGCUUAGCCAAGCCGUGGGUGAUACUGGUGGUGUAGAGGGUAAAUACAGAGUGGCAGCCCCAGAGCUAAUGCAGGACACAUUCAUGAGCGAUUCAGAGGAUGAGGGAGGAGAAGUGGAAUGCCCCAUCCAGCAGCAGCAGCAGUACCGCUACAUGAACAGCGAGGCGGGCACGCUGAACCGCGCCAAGCCGCUAGAGGACAGCGUGACGGACGGACACCUGUGGCCGAGCAAUAAUGACAGCAGAGUCGCCACUAUCGAGCGGCAGCCGCUGGAUAUCGGUUUCCUGGUAUCGUUCGUGGUGGACGCUCGCGGUGGGGCGAUGAAGGCGAAGCGGCGGGGCGGCGUCAGGAUCAUCGUACCGCCGGCCGCGUGCGCCGCCCCCACCAGGGUCACUUGCAGAGCAGCCACACGGCGCGCACCCGCUGCAGCCCCGCCACCGCUAAUGGAGGGCGAAGCCCUAGCCUCCAGACUACUUGAGUUGCAGCCACAAGGAGCUAAAUUCUUAGCACCUGUAAUAAUCGAAGUCCCGAUCUUCACGGCGUCGUGCCCCGAGCGCGAGAUUGUCAUUCUGCGCUCCGACACGGGGGAGACCUGGCAGGAUCACUACUUGCACAACAACGAUAAUGCUAUGAUACAGGAGGCGCUGGCCCGGUCGCGGCAGGAGCACGGCAGUAGCGGCGAGAGCCUGGGCGAGAACGGCGAGCGGGUGACGCGCAUCAUCACGUGCGACUUCCCGCACUACGUGGCCGUGGUGUCGCGCGUGCGCCAGGAGGUGCACAUCAUCGGGCCCGACGGCGGCACCGUGUCCUCCGCGCACAUCCCGCAGGUGCAAGCGCUGUUCCCGCCGCAGGCGCUGACGAAGCGCAUCCGCGUGGGGCUGCAGGCGCACGGCGCGGGCGCGGCGCUGGCGCGGCGCGUGCUGCCGCGCCACGCCGCCGUGUCGCCCGUGCUCACCGUCGAGCCGCGCCGCCGGAAGUUCCACCGCAGCAUCACGCUCACCGUGCCGCUGCCGCAGCCGCCCGACCACAAGGUGGUAGAAAAGCAAUCGACAUCGAACCUGCGACUGCUCUGCUCGAUCAUGGGUGGUCAAGCGCGAGCCGUGUGGGAGGACGUCACUGGCUCAACACCGCUGACCAUCACCGACGACUGCGCCUCCUUCACCACCACGGUGUCUGCGAGAUUCUGGUUGAUGAACUGUCAAAAUGUCAGCGACGCGACGAAAUUGGCGACGGAGUUAUACAGACAAAUGCUAGUAGUGCCAUUCGAAGUGCGUAUCGUUGUUCUGGGGAAGCGUUUGGACGCGCUGGAAGGUCGACUGCUCGUGCUUUACAUUACCGACAGAUACGCGUAUGAAACUCUGCUGCAACAGGAACACUACACAGAGAUAGCGCACUCGACGUCCGUACGCUUUUUGGACGGCAAGGAAGUUUUCUUGGAAUUUUCUGGAAACCUCGUUCCAGUGACUAAGUCUGGCAGUCAACCGCUGUUUACUUUUGAGGCGUUCAAAGACAAUCGCGUGGAGUUCACAGUUCGCGUCAAACAUCACGAGGAGAGUCCCUCCGGCAGGAUCUAUUUCAUGAACGAACCUAAGGUGGCGAAGGGCGAGCAGUCGCAGACGCCGGCGUGCGUGCUGGACGUGCAGCUGCCCGAGCGCAUCGCGCCGCGCGCCGCCAAGAGCCAGCUCGACUGCCUCAACCUCGACCAGUCCGGUUUCGACGCACUAAAAGACGAACUAAGCUUCCACUGGGGUGACCAUAACCACAGUAUCGGACCGCCGUCUCUGCCCACACACCACGAGACCUCGCCACAACUCAACGGACACGUUUUAUGAAAGAUUCGAGUAAAAAAUUGCUUGAAUCAGAGAAAUCACAGUCUUCGCCACACAAAAAGGGCUCCGGAAUACCGAAGCUUAAGAAAAAGAAGAAAUAAUCAGCGAGCGAGCAACGCCGAACGAACGUACGAGUGUAGAUUUAAUAUUUAUUGUUGUUAAUUGUUCUACGGUUUAUUUGGUUCACGGAUCGUGUAUCAUUUAAUAAAUUUAUAAUUUAGUAAAGUUAUAACUGAUUUCGUUUUGAUAAAUCAGACAAAUCUUUGAGCAAUUUUAUUAUGAUAGUAAAAUCAUGUGAAAUCAUAAUUUUAUUAAUUUAAACUUAAAUCAUUUUAUAUGUAUAAUUUUUAUUUUUAACACAGAAAGGAAUUGAUAUGUCCCUACAUAUUGUGUUGAUUUUUUAUUUGAAUAUUGCUCCGUGAAGCAAAUAAUUGUAAAUUCUCUAUAAUCUGUUAAUUUUAUGACGUGACGUCGCGCGGACGAUUACGCUCGCGGAAGUUUGACGUCCAGUUUGUUCGUUAAUAUUAUUCGAGAGACUAUUUAAGCCAUCUCCAAUGUACAAAGAAGUACAAUUAAUAUAGAUGCGAUUUCAUAGAAAUCGUUUUUUUUUUUUAUUCAAUCGACAUUUUAUUUAUACAACUUAAAUCAAGUUGAAUCUUGCCUCUAUCAAUCAUUUUGACAUUUUAUCGAAUCGUAAUAUAUUAUUGGCUUUAUGGCGAACAUGUUUUUAUUUGCAAUUUGUGAAAUAGUAUAUUUGUGUUGCAUAAUUUAUUGUAUUUUAUCUAAGUGUAACGCUUGUACAGUAUUUGACGGAAUUACUUUUUAUAAGUUUCGCAAUUUCGACGUUACUAGCCUAUGGGCUUAGCCAUAGCUUUCGUUUUAGAUCUGCUACGUUAUUUAUUUUUAUACUGUGUCCUAUUUUGUCUUUCGUAAUUAAUAAUUGAUAGAUGUAUGUAUAUUUAAUGUCACAAAAUGACGCGAUUCUAUGUGCUACUUUAAAUAUUUGAGAAUAAAUAUGAAUUGAACCUU
RNAcentral lists this unclassified non-coding RNA (5471 nucleotides) under Zerene cesonia (dogface butterfly). Its description in RNAcentral is "ankyrin-3-like, transcript variant X2". The record is from RNAcentral. Lineage: Eukaryota; Metazoa; Arthropoda; Insecta; Lepidoptera; Pieridae.